AGGAGGACCGACAGAUGAACGGAUGACCUGCUUGCUGGGCUUCCCAUUACUAAUUCUUGAGACAUGAGGACCACUGACUGGUGAGGGAAUUGCCCUAUGAUGGAUGAGCCUGCCUCAAGCUGCCAUAAGCUGGGAGGACCGACGGUUGACUGACUCUGCCUGCUUGGUUGGCCAUUACCGAUUCUUAAGAGAAAUGAGGACCACUGACUGAUGAGGGAAUUGUCUUGCUGAGAUGAGGAUGAGCCUGCCUCAAGCCAUCGUAAGCUGGGAGGACCGACGAUGGACUGACACCGCCUGCUGGCCUGGCCAUUACUGAUUCUUGAGGACAUGAGGACCACCAAGCUUGGACGAGCCUGGACAAUGACGAAGCUGCUCUACUGGACAAGGAUGCCCUCGUCGGAAACUUGAGUUAAAAAAAAACUAGCUUGCACAAUAUGAAAUGAUAAAUCAUAUACACUAAGGCAACAGCACUAAAAUAAAAUGAAAAGUAAUUUUGAUUUCAUUAAAUUAUUUAUGCCUCUAAAAUAAUCUUAAACCGGAUACUGCAACAGACAGUUAACAAUGGACAAUAAUGGAAACUUGCUGAAAAUUAUUGUAAGGGUAAUAAUUUGUCACUGGCUUUUAAGCAGUGACAUGUCUGGGAGAAGGGGUAUUCCUUUGAUCGGUCCUGGGUCAUCCAAAAUUAUUGCUUCAAUUAGUUAAUAAUUUCAUACUCCUUAUCUUUAAUGCGUUCGAUUGGAUCUUCUCGGUAAAUUAUAAAUGAGGUAUCGCCUAAGGUUUUCUAUCUGCUUUUUGUUCAGUUGACAAUGGAGAAUUUUGCUCUAUAAAUUUAAUUUGAUAUUGAAAGUGCAUAUUUUAGAAACCAAUUUAAGUCAUAAGAGUUUUGAAAGAUUUCAAAAAGGAUUAAUUUAUUGUUUAAAAACUGAAGAAAUGUAACUUUAUUUAAAUUUAACGUCAUUAACAAGACGUCAGUUUAACUAAAACGUGACUUUUUUCCAUUGUAUGUUUAUAAGAAAACACAAGAACGUUUAUUUUUAGGAAAAUUUAAAGAAUAAACUGUUCAGGAACUUCUAUCCAUCAAAAUGCAUUGCAACAGGUAUAAGUGACACUCAAAUUACAUUUGUGUUUGUCCUUUUGUGAUUUA
RNAcentral lists this long non-coding RNA (1144 nucleotides) under Patiria miniata (bat star). Its description in RNAcentral is "uncharacterized LOC119729241, transcript variant X2". The record is from RNAcentral. Lineage: Eukaryota; Metazoa; Echinodermata; Asteroidea; Valvatida; Asterinidae.